ACCCUUGGGCUCUGGACUGGGUCGGCAAGAUGGGCACGACACCCAGCAGGGGAGACCGGGGAUCCCAGCCUCAGACUGUGUCCACAGUUCCCCAGGUGAGCCGACAUGCGUCUGUAGAGCACCGCCCGGGACGGGGUGAUGCCCCAGGCAGAGAGAGCGCUCAAGUGGACUGGGACCAGAUCCUGGGGCACAGCUGAUGACCACUGUCAAUUCAGGAGUUACUGCCCUACCCAGCUAGCAGCGGGAGGUAUUCUCCCGGCCUCUGAACUGUGACCCUUGGUCUCUUCUUUUCCAUCUCCUCAAACCAUGCGAUGUUUAAGUGGUACCCAAGGGCUUCACUGGCUUAGAGAAGCUCCAAACAAACCCCGGUCCCUGGAUGCGGCCAGCAAGCCCAGACCCGUCUCACAAGGCGGCUUGGAUCCAAUUUUUCAUGGGAGCUCCUGCCAAGAGCCUGGUGUAGUUUCGAGGAUGGGAGACUUCAGUCCAGAAACAACUGCUCGCCACCUCAGCGCUCCCUGGGUCGAUCCGGAGCCACAAAAUGAGCAUCUGCCGGUGUUCUCUCCUGAACCUCGCAUUUUCUUACCCUUGACGGUACCUCCGUUGUCACAGCUACGCCCCCAGACAUGCAGGCCUUUCUAACUUCAAGUCAAUUGACUUCCAGAAGCCAAGAAAGACUAUUAAAUGAAACUUGGCUUAAAUAGCUGGGCCUACCUGCUUUGUGAGGCAGGCUCAGGCCAAGACUGGGGAAUAAAGGGGGCAGUGAUGGGAUUUAUGAUUAAGUUCCGUCUCUGCCUUCAUCGAGAGUCUUCUGUCCAACAUUUCCAACAGACGAACAUCCACCAGAUCAUGUCCAAUGUUGGAAACAGCUGGUUUUGCUCGAUAGUAUAGAUAACUAGGAUUGUUUAUUGACCAUCUACACCAGGAACGAAGAAACCUACUUACAUCAUCUCUAAGCCUUAAAAUGAAUUGCCAUUUUAGAAAACUGGGAAAAUGAUAUUCAGAAUUUCCUUUUUGCCAAAGCCAAUACUGACAUCACAAUUAAACUCCAGGCCUGCCUACUCCACAGCUUACGUUAAUACAUUUAUGAACCCAAACCAACGCUCUUUAAACCGUAGACUGGUCUAGACCUACCCAUAGGACUUACAUGAAAUUAAUCGUACAGAUAUUGCAAGCCUUGCAAUGGUAGAUGCAGAUUAAUAAAUAACCAACAGAGGUGUUUUGAGACUUUUCCUCAAAAUGUUUCUCCUUUCACUGGUCCUCAAAUGACAGAAUGAUCUGUCAAAACCACUCUUUACCCUGUCUUAAAUGAGCUUGGGGUUUUUAUUCUCUCUGGCACACACACACACACACACACACACACACACACACACACACACACACCGUAGUAAGUCACUAAAACAAUCAUUGACCCUUUGAUCAAGGAACCCUUCCAGCAGCGAGACAUCCCAAACUUGUGUUCGGUUUUCUUUUGGCGAGCAGACAGCCGAGGGUCAAACAGAAAGCUCUGCAUUGCGUGAACUGCAAUUGAACGGUAGCUUCCAUCUUAGUGCUCCAUAUGUGUCAAUGGCACAUUCGUGGAGAUUAGAAGAAAACUUGCAGGAGUCUGUUCUCUCCUUCCACAGUAUAAGCCCCAAGGGACUAACCUCAGGAUAUCAAGACUGCAACUCUGUUAUGUUUAACCUGCAAACGCUUUGAAGCUAAAGGUUCAGACUGCUUCAGUGUAACACCUACGUGUGUGAAACCGUGAAGGAUGAUGGGAAAUGAAAUGACACUAAUAUCAUCUCCCUGUAUGAUCUCUACUUACCUAUUAGAAACUCUACUAGUCAAAAAGAAAUACACAUACAUUUCUUACACGUGGGUGAAAUAGUUUGCUUUUUUGGCUGUUUGUUUUUUAGUAGUCAAUAAUUUGUUUGCCACACAGAAAUCCAACAAGUGCUACAUACUAAUCCCUUCUGGAGAAAAAAAAAUCACUUUAUUAUCUUUGAAUUUCCCACAAAUUAAUGUCAGUGAAAUGGAUUCAUACGCAAAGAUCACAAGACAUAUAAGAAAAGAAAUCAGAAGGCGGCAGUGGCUCACGCCUUUAAUCUCAGCACUUGGGAGGCAGGGCCAGGUGAUCUCUGUGAGUCUGAGGCCAGCCUGGUCUACAAAGUGAGAUCCAGGACAGGCACCAAAACUACACAGAGAAACCCUGUCUCGAGCAAAAAAAAAAAAAAAAAAAUCAAAACAAGAUUAGAUUUAUGCUUCAAAAAUGCUAAUUAACAAUGCUCUGUUACAGGAACUAAAAAAAUAAAACCCAAAGAAAAGACCAACUAAAAUGGCUGCGACUCCAGGAGCAUUAGUAAGGGAACAAUAGACCCACUGAAGCUGGGAACUCCCUAAGAACAAUGUGAGUUGGGCGUGAAGAAAAUGUCCAACCUGAGCAUGGGGGUGUGAAGAGGUGAGAAGACCAAGAGAUGCGAAUCACAUGUGGAUAGCUAUUCCCAGUCUCUGAGUGACGGGGAAAGAAUGCAGUGGAGACAGGAGGUGAAGGAAAAAUAGCUGAUGACAUUCUAAGAUGGAUUUAAGACAUAUCUCCAAGGCAGGGAGUUCUGACAUCAUAUAUAAAUCUAUCAAAUGGAACACCUGGAAAGAAAGGAUAAAGUAUACAUUCAUAUAUAUGUGUGUGUGUGUGCACAUUUAUAAGACACAUGAAAGCAAGCCAAUGUGUACUACACCAGAGGGAAAAAUCAUUGAGAAACAACUGAAGGAUUAUUAAUGGCAAUAAUGAGGCUGAAGACAGUGAGAUAUCUUCAAAGUGCUAAGCAAAAAUCACUGACAACCUAGAAUUUCAUGUCCAGAAAAUUAUAUUUUCAGAACAAAGAAUUCAGACAUUUGUGAAUGAGCAAGAGCUAUCUCUUUUUAAAUCUUUCGUAGUUGAGCAUCUGAAGCCCACUUGCCGAGAAAGGAAAGUAAGCCCACAGACAGAGGAAGAGGAUGCUGAGAAAGAAUUGAGCAGAUACAUCAACAAACAUUUGGGUUGAUAUAGAGCUCUAACCUGUAAAGAAUAAAAAUGAAUAGGAUGAAAUACAUUGGGUUUAUAAAGGACAUAAUUGAAAUACUACCCCACAGCAUACAAGUCAAGAGGAGCAGGGACAGAGUUAAACUGUUCUGGUUUCAUUGUUUCAAGAAGGCUAGAUAUUCAUUUUAAAUGUCCUUAAGCAAAAUAUUAAGAGUAUGAUUGCAGCAAAACCUUCCCAUAAGAUCAUUGCAAUAUGAAGUUGAGUAAAUGUAUUCACUUAAACCCUCAAUAAUCUUCUGAAAGUCUCCAUUGGCAACACACACACACACACACACACACACACACACACACACACACACACACACACACAUAAGCUGUAUAGCUGGUACAUGAUGAAGAUGAGAUUUGAACUCAGUUAGCCUAACUCUAUAGAACAGUACAUGACCUCUAUGUUCUUUGUCCCCUAAGAGGGGAAGGGAAGGUGAAAUCGAUAAACACAUUAACAGGGGCUCCUCUGUGGUGAGAAUGCCUUAAGUCCAGGGAUUAAUAUCCCAAAUCAAAAUAAAGUACAAAAAGUAAAGACAAACGAAACUCAUUAAACCAAUAGUCAGUCCUUUACACUAUUCAAAAAGGAAGCUGCAUAUAAAUACAAAAAUAGAAAGCAUAAGAUUGAGAGGAAACCACUCAGACAUGUAAAUAAUCUCAGUACAAAUGCCCUAAACCUUCCAGCUAAAAGGCAAUUAAUGUUAUAAAUUAUGUUUGUAAAUACAUAACUGUACUACUGGCAGUUAAAGACCACAGAACGUGUAGGACACAUCACUUAUCAAGUAAUGAAAUGAAGGUAGGCAAGGCUGCAUUGAUGUGACAAGCUGUGCUGGCUGAUCUUAUACCAACUUGACACAAACUAGAGUUAUCCGGAAGGAAGAAAACUCAUUUGAGGAAAUGCCUCCAUGAGAUCCAGCUGUAAGGCAUUUUCUUAAUUAGUGAUCCAUGGGGAAGCGCCCAGCCCAUUGUGGGUGGUGCCACCCCUGAGCUGGUGGUCCUGGGUUCUGUACGAAAGCAAGCUGAGCAAGCUAUGAGGAGCAAGCCAGUAAGCAGCACCCCUCCAUGGCCUCUGCAUCAGUUCCUGUCCUGUUUGAGUUCCUGCCCUGAUUUCCUUCCAUGAUGGACUAUGAUGUGGAAGUGUAAGCCGAAUAAACCCUUUCCUCUCCAACUUGUUUUUGGUCGUGGUUUUAUGACAGCAAUAGAAACCCUGACUAGGACACAGUCAAUGAACAGAUCAUCGUGGAGAAAGAUAUCCUAAUGUAAUCAUGAAGUCAACAAGAAGC
This is a long non-coding RNA of Peromyscus californicus insignis, 4326 nucleotides long. RefSeq lists it as uncharacterized. The transcript has 3 exons. Lineage: Eukaryota; Metazoa; Chordata; Mammalia; Rodentia; Cricetidae. The record is from RefSeq and is a predicted model, not a curated record.